Molecule: ribosomal RNA, 458 nt
Filed under: uncultured bacterium
Lineage: Bacteria
Description: partial 16S ribosomal RNA
Rfam family: Bacterial small subunit ribosomal RNA
Source: RNAcentral
CCUACGGGAGGCAGCAGUGGGGAAUAUUGCACAAUGGGGGAGACCCUGAUGCAGCGACGCCGCGUGAGUGAAGAAGUACUUCGGUAUGUAAAGCUCUAUCAGCAGGGAAGAAAUAGCGACCUUUGGGGCGCCAGACGGUACCUGAUUAAGAAGCCCCGGCGAACUACGUGCCAGCAGCCGCGGUAAUACGUAGGGGGCAAGCGUUAUCCGGAUUUACUGGGUGUAAAGGGAGCGUAGACGGCAGCGCAAGUCUGAAGUGAAAUGCCGGGGCUUAACCCCGGAACUGCUUUGGAAACUGGGCAGCUAGAGUGCAGGAGAGGUAAGUGGAAUGCCUAGUGUAGCGGUGAAAUGCGUAGAUAUUAGGAGGAACACCAGUGGCGAAGGCGGCUUACUGGACUGUAACUGACGUUGAUGCUCGAAAGCGUGGGGAGCAAACAGGAUUAGAUACCCUAGUAGUC